CGAACGCUAAUACCGCAUGAUAUUAUCUUAUCGCAUGAUAGGAUGAUCAAAGGAGUGAUCCGCUGAAAGAUGGGCUCGCGUCCGAUUAGGUAGUUGGUGAGGUAACGGCCCACCAAGCCGACGAUCGGUAGCCGGACUGAGAGGUUGGACGGCCACAUUGGGACUGAGACACGGCCCAGACUCCUACGGGAGGCAGCAGUAAGGGAUAUUGGUCAAUGGGGGAAACCCUGAACCAGCAACGCCGCGUGAGGGAAGACGGUUUUCGGAUUGUAAACCUCUGUCCUCUGUGAAGAUGAUGACGGUAGCAGAGGAGGAAGCUCCGGCUAACUACGUGCCAGCAGCCGCGGUAAUACGUAGGGAGCGAGCGUUGUCCGGAUUUACUGGGUGUAAAGGGUGCGUAGGCGGCUAUGCAAGUCAGUAGUGAAAUCCAUGGGCUUAACCCAUGAACUGCUAUUGAAACUGCACAGCUUGAGUGAAGUAGAGGUAGGCGGAAUUCCCGGUGUAGCGGUGAAAUGCGUAGAGAUCGGGAGGAACACCAGUGGCGAAGGCGGCCUACUGGGCUUUAACUGACGCUGAGGCACGAAAGCGUGGGUAGCAAACAGGAUUAGAUACCCUGGUAGUCCACGCUGUAAACGAUGAUUACUAGGUGUGGGGGGACUGAACCCUUCCGUGCCGGAG
Molecule: ribosomal RNA, 678 nt
Filed under: uncultured bacterium
Lineage: Bacteria
Description: bacterial SSU rRNA
Rfam family: Bacterial small subunit ribosomal RNA
Source: RNAcentral